RNAcentral lists this transfer RNA (71 nucleotides) under Gemmatimonadota bacterium. Its description in RNAcentral is "tRNA-Ser". Lineage: Bacteria; Pseudomonadati; Gemmatimonadota. The record is from RNAcentral.
GCUCCUCAUAGCCGCAGGUCGAAUCCUCCAUGGUAAGGAGGGGGUCGACGGUUCGAGUCCGUCAGAGGGCU